AACGAACGCUGGCGGCAUGCCUAACACAUGCAAGUCGAACGAGAUCUUCGGGUCUAGUGGCGCACGGGUGCGUAACGCGUGGGAAUCUGCCCUUUGGUUCGGAAUAACAGUUGGAAACGACUGCUAAUACCGGAUGAUGACGAAAGUCCAAAGAUUUAUCGCCGGAGGAUGAGCCCGCGUAGGAUUAGCUAGUUGGUGUGGUAAAGGCGCACCAAGGCGACGAUCCUUAGCUGGUCUGAGAGGAUGAUCAGCCACACGGGGACUGAGACACGGCCCAGACUCCAAGGGGAGGCAGCAGGGGGGAAUAUUGGAAAAUGGGCGAAAGCCUGAUCCAGCAAUGCCGCGUGAGUGAUGAAGGCCUUAGGGUUGUAAAGCUCUUUUACCCGGGAUGAUAAUGACAGUACCGGGAGAAUAAGCUCCGGCUAACUCCGUGCCAGCCGCCGCCGUAA
RNAcentral lists this ribosomal RNA (449 nucleotides) under uncultured bacterium. Its description in RNAcentral is "partial 16S ribosomal RNA". It matches the Rfam family "Bacterial small subunit ribosomal RNA", at positions 29 to 523 of the family's 1533-position model. The record is from RNAcentral.